Molecule: long non-coding RNA, 548 nt
Filed under: Manihot esculenta (cassava)
Lineage: Eukaryota; Viridiplantae; Streptophyta; Magnoliopsida; Malpighiales; Euphorbiaceae
Description: long non-coding RNA (MESC_LNC005612)
Source: RNAcentral
UGAGAAUAAGCUCCGUUGUCGACGGUCGAUGGCGGCGAACCGUUGAUGGCGGCGAACCGUUGAUGGCGGCGAACCGUUGAUGGCGGCGAACCGUUGAUGGCGGCGGACGAUGGAUGCACUUGGCAGUGAACGACGGAAAGGUUGGAGGCAACUUCAGAUUUCAGUGAUUUUGAUUUUAAGGAAUUAGGGAUUUCAUUUAAGGACGUGACCUGAUCAGGACUAGCGAAUCAAAGAGAGGCGAGCUGCAGAAACAUGUGCAGCUCGGGAUCUGCAGCAGAUCAGCAGAACAUGAAGCGGGCCGCAGAAUGAACCAACGACGUGUGUCAAACCUAUGUUUCUUGAUUAACGUUCCUUGAGCUCCGUCUGUCGUGGACGGUGACCGGCGAGAGGAGGUGGUGCCUCUGGCGGGAGGUGAGCAGCAGCCUAAUGGAGUACGGAGGCGACGGCGGUGUGGAAAUCAGUGAGAGAAUAGGAAUGGCUGAAUGGUUCAUCAAUAAGCAAACACACGAUUUAGGAAUUCACUCGUGGGUUGUAUAUUUGGCUCCACA